UUUUUUACAUUUUAAAAUGCUUUAGCAGCAAUGUUUACUCAUUAAAUUAGGUGGAUGCUUCUUUAACUGGCCAUAUGUUGUUUAAGUUUGUCCUAGUUCUAAGAGAGGCAGCCUUGUUGUCUUCUACAAAUUUAGCCAAGUAGGUUAUUUCCUUCACCUUGCUCUGGUGCCCUCUUAAGAUCAUGCACUCUUACGACAGUUUUUAGUAACUACAGCUUGUGCCAGGCAGCUUGAACCACAGCCAACACUUGCGCACAAGCCACUUUUCUAUCUCGAAUCCACACUAGAGUAUGUUGUACAGUCAAUGGUAAACAAACAUGGUCCAGUUACACAGCCUGCUGCUCAUGUCUGCUUGAAUUCCUAUAUUUUGUUGUAUGCCUGUUUGUUUACCAUGUCUUCUUAGUUAUAUUUAGUUUUAUUAAUAGUGCACUUCAUUAUUCAGAUUUAGUGAAAAUUGAGUGAGGUCAACACUGGAUAAAGUUUACAACUCAUUAUUGGAUUGUAAAAUUAUUGAUUCAUGAAAACAGAAGAUCAUAAACAUUGAAAAUACAAUAAGAAAUUUGUGAAACAAUUUUUGUUGCAACUGGUACAUUUAAAUGUAUACAGACUUUUAAAGAAUAAGGAACUUUUCCAAGACAAUCUGACACAGAUGGGAGAUCACAGACGAGUGAUGAUUCAGCUACUAGAAAUGGUUUUUGAUAAGAAUCACUUGGAGGCAGGAGCUUCAGAUACAACCAGAACCACCCCCUCUCUGGGACUAAAAAUAUGUUGUAUAAAUGCAUGUUAUUCUAUAUUAAUAAAAAUGUAGAAUGGG
This is a long non-coding RNA of Homalodisca vitripennis (glassy-winged sharpshooter), 814 nucleotides long. RefSeq lists it as uncharacterized. The transcript is spliced from 2 exons. NCBI's taxonomy places the organism in Eukaryota, Metazoa, Arthropoda, Insecta, Hemiptera, Cicadellidae. The record is from RefSeq and is a predicted model, not a curated record.